This 345-nucleotide unclassified non-coding RNA is filed under the name soil metagenome. Its description in RNAcentral is "partial contains 5.8S ribosomal RNA, internal transcribed spacer 2, and large subunit ribosomal RNA". The stretch from base 1 to 120 matches the Rfam family "5.8S ribosomal RNA", at positions 35 to 154 of the family's 154-position model. The record is from RNAcentral.
GAUGAAGAACGUAGCGAAAUGCGAUACGUAAUGUGAAUUGCAGAAUUCAGUGAAUCAUCGAGUCUUUGAACGCACAUUGCGCCCCCUGGUAUUCCGGGGGGCAUGCCUGUCCGAGCGUCAUUGCUGCCCUCAAGCACGGCUUGUGUGUUGGGCCUCUGUCCUCCUCCCGGGGGACGGGCCCGAAAGGCAGCGGCGGCACCGCGUCCGGUCCUCGAGCGUAUGGGGCUUCGUCACCCGCUCUUGUAGGCCCGGCCGGCGCUUGCCGACACAUCAAUCUUUUUUCCAGGUUGACCUCGGAUCAGGUAGGGAUACCCGCUGAACUUAAGCAUAUCAAUAAGCGGAGGA